RNAcentral lists this ribosomal RNA (253 nucleotides) under uncultured bacterium. RNAcentral's name for it is "partial 16S ribosomal RNA". It matches the Rfam family "Bacterial small subunit ribosomal RNA", at positions 524 to 776 of the family's 1533-position model. The record is from RNAcentral.
UACGUAGGGUGCAAGCGUUAAUCGGAAUUACUGGGCGUAAAGCGUGCGCAGGCGGUUAUGCAAGACAGAUGUGAAAUCCCCGGGCUUAACCUGGGAAUGGCAUUUGGGACUGCAAGGCUUGAGUGCGGCAGAGGAGACUGGAAUUCCUGGUGUAGCAGUGAAAUGCGUAGAUAUCAGGAGGAACACCGAUGGCGAAGGCAGGUCUCUGGGCUGACACUGACGCUCAUGCACGAAAGCGUGGGGAGCAAACAGG